GACGAAUGCUGGCGGCGUGCUUAACACAUGCAAGUCGAACGGAAAGGCCCUGCUUUUGUGGGGUGCUCGAGUGGCGAACGGGUGAGUAACACGUGAGUAACCUGCCCUUGACUUUGGGAUAACUUCAGGAAACUGGGGCUAAUACCGGAUAGGAGCUCCUGCUGCAUGGUGGGGGUUGGAAAGUUUCGGCGGUUGGGGAUGGACUCGCGGCUUAUCAGCUUGUUGGUGGGGUAGUGGCUUACCAAGGCUUUGACGGGUAGCCGGCCUGAGAGGGUGACCGGCCACAUUGGGACUGAGAUACGGCCCAGACUCCUACGGGAGGCAGCAGUGGGGAAUAAUGCACAAUGGGCGGAAGCCUGAUGCAGCAACGCCGCGUGCGGGAUGACGGCCUUCGGGUUGUAAACCGCUUUCGCCUGUGACGAAGCGUGAGUGACGGUAAUGGGUAAAGAAGCACCGGCUAACUACGUG
RNAcentral lists this ribosomal RNA (468 nucleotides) under uncultured bacterium. Its description in RNAcentral is "partial 16S ribosomal RNA". It matches the Rfam family "Bacterial small subunit ribosomal RNA", at positions 28 to 507 of the family's 1533-position model. The record is from RNAcentral.